This 148-nucleotide non-coding RNA is filed under the name uncultured Sulfitobacter sp. RNAcentral's name for it is "FMN riboswitch (RFN element)". It matches the Rfam family "FMN riboswitch aptamer (RFN element)". From Rfam's summary of the family: The RFN element is a highly conserved domain that is found frequently in the 5'-untranslated regions of prokaryotic mRNAs that encode for flavin mononucleotide (FMN) biosynthesis and transport proteins. This element is a metabolite-dependent riboswitch that directly binds FMN in the absence of proteins. In Bacillus subtilis, the riboswitch most likely controls gene expression by causing premature transcription termination within the 5' untranslated region of the ribDEAHT operon and precluding access to the ribosome-binding site of ypaA mRNA. The record is from RNAcentral. Lineage: Bacteria; Pseudomonadati; Pseudomonadota; Alphaproteobacteria; Rhodobacterales; Roseobacteraceae.
AUUCUCAGGGCGGGGUGAAAUUCCCCACCGGCGGUAGGUGGGCUAGCCCACAAGCCCGCGAGCGCAACACACCCCGUCAUAGGGUCUGUUGGUCAGCAGAUCUGGUCAAAUUCCAGAGCCGACGGUCAUAGUCCGGAUGGAAGAGAAU